AUUGAACGCUGGCGGCAGGCCUAACACAUGCAAGUCGAGCGGAUGAAGGGAGCUUGCUCCUGGAUUCAGCGGCGGACGGGUGAGUAAUGCCUAGGAAUCUGCCUGGUAGUGGGGGAUAACGCCCGGAAACGGGCGCUAAUACCGCAUACGUCCUGAGGGAGAAAGUGGGGGAUCUUCGGACCUCACGCUAUCAGAUGAGCCUAGGUCGGAUUAGCUAGUUGGUGGGGUAAAGGCCUACCAAGGCGACGAUCCGUAACUGGUCUGAGAGGAUGAUCAGUCACACUGGAACUGAGACACGGUCCAGACUCCUACGGGAGGCAGCAGUGGGGAAUAUUGGACAAUGGGCGAAAGCCUGAUCCAGCCAUGCCGCGUGUGUGAAAAAGGUCUUCGGAUUGUAAAGCACUUUAAGUUGGGAGGAAGGGCAGUAAGUUAAUACCUUGCUGUUUUGACGUUACCAACAGAAUAAGCACCGGCUAACUUCGUG
RNAcentral lists this ribosomal RNA (484 nucleotides) under uncultured bacterium. RNAcentral describes it as "partial 16S ribosomal RNA". It matches the Rfam family "Bacterial small subunit ribosomal RNA", at positions 30 to 507 of the family's 1533-position model. The record is from RNAcentral.